Molecule: ribosomal RNA, 253 nt
Filed under: uncultured bacterium
Lineage: Bacteria
Description: partial 16S ribosomal RNA
Rfam family: Bacterial small subunit ribosomal RNA
Source: RNAcentral
UACAGAGGGUGCAAGCGUUGUUCGGAGUUACUGGGCGUAAAGGGCGCGUAGGCGGCUAUUCAAGUCAGAUGUGAAAUCCCCGGGCUUAACCCGGGACGUGCAUUUGAAACUGUAUAGCUAGAGUGCAGUAGAGGUUGGUGGAAUUCCUAGUGUAGAGGUGAAAUUCGUAGAGAUUAGGAGGAACACCGGUGGCGAAGGCGGCCAACUGGGCUGCAACUGACGCUGAGGCGCGAAAGCGUGGGUAGCAAACAGG